GUGGGGAAUAUUGGACAAUGGGCGCAAGCCUGAUCCAGCAAUGCCGCGUGAGUGAAGAAGGCCCUAGGGUUGUAAAACUCUUUCGAUAGUGAAGAUGAUGACGGUAACUAUUAAAGAAGCACCGGCUAACUUCGUGCCAGCAGCCGCGGUAAUACGAAGGGUGCUAGCGUUGUUCGGAAUUACUGGGCGUAAAGAGCAUGUAGGCGGAUCAAUUAGUCAGAGGUGAAAGCCCCGAGCUCAACUCGGGAACUGCCUUUGAUACUGUUGGUCUAGAGUUCGAGAGAGGUGAGUGGAAUUUCCAGUGUAGAGGUGAAAUUCGUAGAUAUUGGAAAGAACACCAGUGGCGAAGGCGGCUCACUGGCUCGAUACUGACGCUGAGAUGCGAAAGCGUGGGGAGCGAACAGGAUUAGAAACCCUGGUAGUCC
This 425-nucleotide ribosomal RNA is filed under the name uncultured bacterium. RNAcentral describes it as "bacterial SSU rRNA". It matches the Rfam family "Bacterial small subunit ribosomal RNA", at positions 354 to 796 of the family's 1533-position model. The record is from RNAcentral.